Molecule: non-coding RNA, 31 nt
Filed under: Homo sapiens (human)
Lineage: Eukaryota; Metazoa; Chordata; Mammalia; Primates; Hominidae
Source: RNAcentral
AGGGCACUGAUCGAUGGCAGCUUUGUCUCUA